Molecule: ribosomal RNA, 247 nt
Filed under: uncultured bacterium
Lineage: Bacteria
Description: partial 16S ribosomal RNA
Rfam family: Bacterial small subunit ribosomal RNA
Source: RNAcentral
AGACGAAGGAUGCAAGCGUUAUCCGGAUUCAUUGGGUUUAAAGGGAGCGUAGGCGGUCUUAUAAGUCAGUGGUGAAAUCUCCUCGCUUAACGAGGAAACUGCCAUUGAUACUGUAGGACUUGAGUAUAGUUGCUGUGGGCGGAAUAUGACAUGUAGUGGUGAAAUACUUAGAGAUGUCAUAGAACACCGAUUGCGAAGGCAGCUCACAAAACUAUAACUGACGCUGAGGCUCGAAAGUGCGGGGAUC